RNAcentral lists this unclassified non-coding RNA (263 nucleotides) under plant metagenome. RNAcentral describes it as "partial contains small subunit ribosomal RNA, internal transcribed spacer 1, and 5.8S ribosomal RNA". The stretch from base 1 to 54 matches the Rfam family "Eukaryotic small subunit ribosomal RNA", at positions 1778 to 1831 of the family's 1831-position model. The record is from RNAcentral.
GGAAGUAAAAGUUGUAACAAGGUUUCCGUAGGUGAACCUGCGGAAGGAUCAUUAUUGUAUGAAACACUUCUGGCUUUAUGCUGUUGUGCUGGCCCUUUGGGCAAUGUGCACACGGCUCUGGUCACUUGUUUCUUCUGUUCCACCUGUGCACUGCCUGUAGACACGCUGUGUCUAUGAUAUUUGUUAACACACAACAAUGUUAGUUGGCAUGUUAUAUAUAAUAAUAAAAUAUACAACUUUCAACAACGGAUCUCUUGGCUCUC